ACGGGAGGCAGCAGUGGGGGAUAUUGCACAAUGGGGGAAACCCUGAUGCAGCGACGCCGCGUGAGCGAAGAAGUGCUUCGGCAUGUAAAGCUCUAUCAGCAGGGAAGAAAAUGACGGUACCUGACUAAGAAGCCCCGGCUAACUACGUGCCAGCAGCCGCGGUAAUACGUAGGGGGCAAGCGUUAUCCGGAUUCACUGGGUGUAAAGGGAGCGUAGACGGCAACGCAAGUCUGAUGUGAAAACCCGCGGCUCAACCGCGGGAUUGCAUUGGAAACUGUGUAGCUUGAGUACUGGAGGGGCAGGCGGAAUUCCUGGUGUAGCGGUGGAAUGCGUAGAUAUCAGGAGGAACACCGGUGGCGAAGGCGGCCUGCUGGACAGUAACUGACGUUGAGGCUCGAAAGCGUGGGGAGCAAACAGGAUUAGAUACCCUGGUA
RNAcentral lists this ribosomal RNA (434 nucleotides) under uncultured Lachnospiraceae bacterium. RNAcentral describes it as "partial 16S ribosomal RNA". It matches the Rfam family "Bacterial small subunit ribosomal RNA", at positions 341 to 792 of the family's 1533-position model. The record is from RNAcentral. Lineage: Bacteria; Bacillati; Bacillota; Clostridia; Lachnospirales; Lachnospiraceae.